RNAcentral lists this ribosomal RNA (468 nucleotides) under uncultured bacterium. RNAcentral describes it as "partial 16S ribosomal RNA". It matches the Rfam family "Bacterial small subunit ribosomal RNA", at positions 28 to 507 of the family's 1533-position model. The record is from RNAcentral.
GAUGAACGCUGGCGGCGUGCUUAACACAUGCAAGUCGAACGGAAAGGCCCUGCUUUUGUGGGGUGCUCGAGUGGCGAACGGGUGUGUAACACGUGAGUAACCUGCCCUUGACUUUGGGAUAACUUCAGGAAACUGGGGCUAAUACCGGAUAGGAGCUCCUGCUGCAUGGUGGGGGUUGGAAAGUUUCGGCGGUUGGGGAUGGACUCGCGGCUCAUCAGCUUGUUGGUGGGGGAGCGGCUUACCAAGGCUUUGACGGGUAGCCGGCCUGAGAGGGUGACCGGCCACAUGGGGACUAAGAUACGGCCCAGACUCGAACGGGAGGCAACAGUGGGGAAUAUUGCACAAUGGGCGGAAGCCUGAUGCAGCAACGCCGCGUGCGGGAUGACGGCCUUCGGGUUGUAAACCGCUUUCGCCUGUGACGAAGCGUGAGUGACGGUAAUGGAUAAAGAAGCACCGGCUAACUACGUG